RNAcentral lists this long non-coding RNA (726 nucleotides) under Fukomys damarensis (Damara mole-rat). RNAcentral's name for it is "lncRNA (ENSFDAG00000024435.1)". Lineage: Eukaryota; Metazoa; Chordata; Mammalia; Rodentia; Bathyergidae. The record is from RNAcentral.
CUUGGAAAGAGUGUCAGUUUUUGUCAGACCUAUAAGUGACACUUAAAACAUCAAAUUUGUGAUAAGGAGUCAUGAACUAUGAUUCUCGUAGAUUUCAGUUUCCAUUUUGAUAUUGCUAUUACAGUGAGAAAACAUAUGAAGAUGCUAUUUCAUUGAGAAAUCUACUCAUCCCAUCUUCAAAUACUUCUCACAAGGCCACCAGUAAAUCAAGACCAAUAUAGGUCUUAUUGAACACACAUUCUGAAUAUGGAUGUUUUGGCUGGCAUCACCUUGGUCUCCACGUUGCACAGUUCCUCAUUUGUGCAAUGCGCUAACAUUACCCGGCACUACGGCCAUGAGGAGAAGACAGAAAGUGUGACACUGGACCUGCAGGUGAGAUUUACUCAAUGAAUAUUAUCAUUUUAUUAUAAACAUAGGAGUGAUGUGAUCACAGGCUACGAGACAAUGAGGAAGGUCAGUUUGAUUUUAAGGAAUCCAUUAAAAAUAUUGCGUGGCUGGGAAACCAAAUCAUCUGUCAUGAACAAGUCGCUCUGGUUUGCGAAGUCCAUGUGGGCAUUUGUGUGACUGUGCAAGGUUUGCUCUAGUUCUGGUUCACUGGCCCAGAAUUGGUAUGGAAAAGUGACCUCCCUCUCUUUCUUAUCUGUGCCCUUGAUAAAAUCUAAGUUGUAAUCAUCUACAAGCUGUCUAUCCUGGAGGUUUCUCAAUGUUUUGUUUCCAAAAGCGGGC